UCGAGGAUCUUCCGCAAUGGGCGCAAGCCUGACGGAGCGACGCCGCGUGUGGGAUGAAGGCCUUCGGGUUGUAAACCACUGUCACUCGUUAAGAAAGGGUCCGGCGUCAACAGCGUCGGGCACUGACGAAGGCGAGAGAGGAAGCCACGGCUAACUUCGUGCCAGCAGCCGCGGUAAGACGAAGGUGGCGAGCGUUGUUCGGAAUCACUGGGCAUAAAGCGCACGUAGGCGGUGCCGUAAGUCGGGUGUGAAAUCCCUCGGCCUAACCGAGGAACUGCGCCCGAUACUGCGGUGCUUGAGGACCAGAGGGGUGCAUGGAAUUUCCGGUGGAGCGGUGAAAUGCGUUGAUAUCGGAAGGAACUCCGGCGGCGAAAGCGAUGCACUGGCUGGUUUCUGACGCUGAGGUGCGAAAGCCAGGGGAGCAAACGGG
Molecule: ribosomal RNA, 430 nt
Filed under: bacterium
Lineage: Bacteria
Also listed under: 1 other name
Description: partial 16S ribosomal RNA
Rfam family: Bacterial small subunit ribosomal RNA
Source: RNAcentral